UUAAGCGACUAAGCGUACACGGUGGAUGCCCUGGCAGUCAGAGGCGAUGAAGGACGUGCUAAUCUGCGAUAAGCGUCGGUGAGGUGAUAUGAACCGUUAUAACCGGCGAUUUCCGAAUGGGGAAACCCAGUGUGAUUCGACACACUAUCAUUAACUGAAUCCAUAGGUUAAUGAGGCGAACCGGGGGAACUGAAACAUCUAAGUACCCCGAGGAAAAGAAAUCAACCGAGAUUCCCCCAGUAGCGGCGAGCGAACGGGGAGGAGCCCAGAGCCUGAAUCAGUGUGUGUGUUAGUGGAAGCGUCUGGAAAGGCGCGCGAUACAGGGUGACAGCCCCGUACACAAAAAUGCACAUAUUGUGAGCUCGAUGAGUAGGGCGGGACACGUGGUAUCCUGUCUGAAUAUGGGGGGACCAUCCUCCAAGGCUAAAUACUCCUGACUGACCGAUAGUGAACCAGUACCGUGAGGGAAAGGCGAAAAGAACCCCGGCGAGGGGAGUGAAAAAGAACCUGAAACCGUGUACGUACAAGCAGUGGGAGCCUCUUAAUGGGGUGACUGCGUACCUUUUGUAUAAUGGGUCAGCGACUUAUAUUCUGUAGCAAGGUUAACCGAAUAGGGGAGCCGAAGGGAAACCGAGUCUUAACUGGGCGUUAAGUUGCAGGGUAUAGACCCGAAACCCGGUGAUCUAGCCAUGGGCAGGUUGAAGGUUGGGUAACACUAACUGGAGGACCGAACCGACUAAUGUUGAAAAAUUAGCGGAUGACUUGUGGCUGGGGGUGAAAGGCCAAUCAAACCGGGAGAUAGCUGGUUCUCCCCGAAAGCUAUUUAGGUAGCGCCUCGUGAAUUCAUCUCCGGGGGUAGAGCACUGUUUCGGCAAGGGGGUCAUCCCGACUUACCAACCCGAUGCAAACUGCGAAUACCGGAGAAUGUUAUCACGGGAGACACACGGCGGGUGCUAACGUCCGUCGUGAAGAGGGAAACAACCCAGACCGCCAGCUAAGGUCCCAAAGUCAUGGUUAAGUGGGAAACGAUGUGGGAAGGCCCAGACAGCCAGGAUGUUGGCUUAGAAGCAGCCAUCAUUUAAAGAAAGCGUAAUAGCUCACUGGUCGAGUCGGCCUGCGCGGAAGAUGUAACGGGGCUAAACCAUGCACCGAAGCUGCGGCAGCGACACUAUGUGUUGUUGGGUAGGGGAGCGUUCUGUAAGCCUGUGAAGGUGUACUGUGAGGUAUGCUGGAGGUAUCAGAAGUGCGAAUGCUGACAUAAGUAACGAUAAAGCGGGUGAAAAGCCCGCUCGCCGGAAGACCAAGGGUUCCUGUCCAACGUUAAUCGGGGCAGGGUGAGUCGACCCCUAAGGCGAGGCCGAAAGGCGUAGUCGAUGGGAAACAGGUUAAUAUUCCUGUACUUGGUGUUACUGCGAAGGGGGGACGGAGAAGGCUAUGUUGGCCGGGCGACGGUUGUCCCGGUUUAAGCGUGUAGGCUGGUUUUCCAGGCAAAUCCGGAAAAUCAAGGCUGAGGCGUGAUGACGAGGCACUACGGUGCUGAAGCGACAAAUGCCCUGCUUCCAGGAAAAGCCUCUAAGCAUCAGGUAACAUCAAAUCGUACCCCAAACCGACACAGGUGGUCAGGUAGAGAAUACCAAGGCGCUUGAGAGAACUCGGGUGAAGGAACUAGGCAAAAUGGUGCCGUAACUUCGGGAGAAGGCACGCUGAUAUGUAGGUGAAGCGACUUGCUCGUGGAGCUGAAAUCAGUCGAAGAUACCAGCUGGCUGCAACUGUUUAUUAAAAACACAGCACUGUGCAAACACGAAAGUGGACGUAUACGGUGUGACGCCUGCCCGGUGCCGGAAGGUUAAUUGAUGGGGUUAGCGGUAACGCGAAGCUCUUGAUCGAAGCCCCGGUAAACGGCGGCCGUAACUAUAACGGUCCUAAGGUAGCGAAAUUCCUUGUCGGGUAAGUUCCGACCUGCACGAAUGGCGUAAUGAUGGCCAGGCUGUCUCCACCCGAGACUCAGUGAAAUUGAACUCGCUGUGAAGAUGCAGUGUACCCGCGGCAAGACGGAAAGACCCCGUGAACCUUUACUAUAGCUUGACACUGAACAUUGAGCCUUGAUGUGUAGGAUAGGUGGGAGGCUUUGAAGUGUGGACGCCAGUCUGCAUGGAGCCGACCUUGAAAUACCACCCUUUAAUGUUUGAUGUUCUAACGUGGGCCCCUUACCGGGGUUGCGGACAGUGUCUGGUGGGUAGUUUGACUGGGGCGGUCUCCUCCUAAAGAGUAACGGAGGAGCACGAAGGUUGGCUAAUCCUGGUCGGACAUCAGGAGGUUAGUGCAAUGGCAUAAGCCAGCUUGACUGCGAGCGUGACGGCGCGAGCAGGUGCGAAAGCAGGUCAUAGUGAUCCGGUGGUUCUGAAUGGAAGGGCCAUCGCUCAACGGAUAAAAGGUACUCCGGGGAUAACAGGCUGAUACCGCCCAAGAGUUCAUAUCGACGGCGGUGUUUGGCACCUCGAUGUCGGCUCAUCACAUCCUGGGGCUGAAGUAGGUCCCAAGGGUAUGGCUGUUCGCCAUUUAAAGUGGUACGCGAGCUGGGUUUAGAACGUCGUGAGACAGUUCGGUCCCUAUCUGCCGUGGGCGCUGGAGAACUGAGGGGGGCUGCUCCUAGUACGAGAGGACCGGAGUGGACGCAUCACUGGUGUUCGGGUUGUCAUGCCAAUGGCACUGCCCGGUAGCUAAAUGCGGAAGAGAUAAGUGCUGAAAGCAUCUAAGCACGAAACUUGCCCCGAGAUGAGUUCUCCCUGACUCCUUGAGAGUCCUGAAGGAACGUUGAAGACGACGACGUUGAUAGGCCGGGUGUGUAAGCGCAGCGAUGCGUUGAGCUAACCGGUACUAAUGAACCGUGAGGCUUAACCUU
This 2902-nucleotide ribosomal RNA is filed under the name Escherichia coli HVH 146 (4-3189767). RNAcentral's name for it is "bacterial LSU rRNA". It matches the Rfam family "Bacterial large subunit ribosomal RNA". The record is from RNAcentral. Lineage: Bacteria; Pseudomonadati; Pseudomonadota; Gammaproteobacteria; Enterobacterales; Enterobacteriaceae.